Molecule: transfer RNA, 70 nt
Filed under: Acidobacteriota bacterium
Lineage: Bacteria; Pseudomonadati; Acidobacteriota
Description: Acidobacteria bacterium tRNA-Glu
Rfam family: tRNA
About the family: Transfer RNA (tRNA) molecules are approximately 80 nucleotides in length. Their secondary structure includes four short double-helical elements and three loops (D, anti-codon, and T loops).
Source: RNAcentral
GGCGCAUUCGCUAGUGGCAGGCCGCCUGUCUUUCCAACAGGAAACGACGGUUCAAUUCCGUCAUGCGCUA